UAUAGGGAGACCCAAAUCAAGUAAAAAGAACCAAGUAAAAAGUAAAAAGAAAGAGAAAAAAUCUUUUGACUUUUGACUUUUGACUUUUGACUUGAUGUAUCCCGAGGUCGGUCGAGGAAAAGUGAUUGGCUUUCAAACUAUAGAUUGGUUCGAGAAAAAUUGCACAAGCGAACAACAAAAUACCGUUGUAAUUGGGCAAACAGUCAAAUCGAUUGUUAUACUCUCUAACAGUGAGUGCAAAUGUAAUGUAUUGUGAAAAAGCAAUACCAAAUUCCAAAAAUUGCUCCAGCAAUCUUGCUUGAACCAGUAAGACUGCUGGAUGAUAUCCAGCCAGAACCUUGAAAACUGCAUAGUAACGCGAAGCAGGUAGACACAGACAUUGUAUGAUUGCAUAAAUGAAAGUGUUUGCUUUUGAUAGAUAUCACCAAUUGUGAAGU
This 437-nucleotide unclassified non-coding RNA is filed under the name Kalymmatonema arcangelii MX1. Its description in RNAcentral is "16S-23S ribosomal RNA intergenic spacer". Lineage: Bacteria; Bacillati; Cyanobacteriota; Cyanophyceae; Nostocales; Scytonemataceae. The record is from RNAcentral.